RNAcentral lists this unclassified non-coding RNA (462 nucleotides) under uncultured Russula. Its description in RNAcentral is "sequence contains ITS2". The stretch from base 1 to 154 matches the Rfam family "5.8S ribosomal RNA". The record is from RNAcentral. Lineage: Eukaryota; Fungi; Basidiomycota; Agaricomycetes; Russulales; Russulaceae.
AACUUUUCGCAACGUAUCUCUUGGCUCUCGCGUCGAUGAAGAACGCAGCGAAAUGCGAUACGUAAUGUGAAUUGCAGAAUUCAGUGAAUCAUCGAAUCUUUCAACGCACCUUGCGCCCCUUGGCAUUCCGAGGGGCACACCCGUUUGAGUGUCGUGAAAUUCUCAAAACCUUUUCCUUUGCCGGAAAGGCUUUUGACUUCGGAGGCCUUUUGCUGGUUUCACCUCGAAGCGAGCUCCUCCCAAAUGGAUUAGUGGGGUCUGCUUUGCCGAUCCUUGACGUGAUAAGAUGCUUCUACGUCUCGGGUUUUGGCACUGUGCCUCUGCUUCUAACCGUCUCAUUGACAACGAUGGUGUUCCGGUCACCGCCGAUUCGUCGGUGGGAGGCUUGACCCACAAAACGACCUUGACCUCAAAUCGGGUGAGACUACCCGCUGAACAUAAGCAUAUCAAUAAGCGGAGGCU